CUACGGGAGGCAGCAGUGGGGAAUAUUGGACAAUGGGCGAAAGCCUGAUCCAGCAAUGCCGCGUGGGUGAAGAAGGUCUUCGGAUUGUAAAGCCCUUUCGGCGGGGACGAUGAUGACGGUACCCGCAGAAGGAGCCCCGGCUAACUUCGUGCCAGCAGCCGCGGUAAUACGAAGGGGGCUAGCGUUGCUCGGAAUUACUGGGCGUAAAGGGCGCGUAGGCGGCCUUGUCAGUCGGGCGUGAAAUCCCCGGGCUCAACCUGGGAAUUGCGUUCGAUACGGCUGGGCUUGAGGCCGAGAGAGGGUGGUGGAAUUCCCAGUGUAGAGGUGAAAUUCGUAGAUAUUGGGAAGAACG
Molecule: ribosomal RNA, 352 nt
Filed under: uncultured Alphaproteobacteria bacterium
Lineage: Bacteria; Pseudomonadati; Pseudomonadota; Alphaproteobacteria
Description: bacterial SSU rRNA
Rfam family: Bacterial small subunit ribosomal RNA
Source: RNAcentral